CUACGGGUGGCACCAGUGAGGAAUAUUGCACAAUGGGGGGAACCCUGAUGCAGCAACGCCGCGUGGAGGAUGACGCAUUUCGGUGUGUAAACUCCUUUUAUAUGUCAAGAAAAUGACGGUAGCAUAUGAAUAAGCACCGGCUAACUCCGUGCCAGCAGCCGCGGUAAUACGGAGGGUGCAAGCGUUACUCGGAAUCACUGGGCGUAAAGGAAGCGUAGGCGGGUUGGAAAGUCAGGUGUGAAAUCCUACAGAUUAACUGUAGAACUGCACUUGAAACUUCUAAUCUAGAGUAUGGGAGGGGGAGAUGGAAUUAGUGGUGUAGGGGUAAAAUCCGUAGAUAUCACUAGGAAUACCUAAAGCGAAGGCGAUCUCCUGGAACAUUACUGACGCUAAGGCGUGAAAGCGUGGGGAGCAAACAGGAUUAGAUACCCGAGUAGUC
RNAcentral lists this ribosomal RNA (439 nucleotides) under uncultured bacterium. RNAcentral describes it as "partial 16S ribosomal RNA". It matches the Rfam family "Bacterial small subunit ribosomal RNA", at positions 339 to 795 of the family's 1533-position model. The record is from RNAcentral.